RNAcentral lists this ribosomal RNA (465 nucleotides) under uncultured Neisseria sp. RNAcentral describes it as "bacterial SSU rRNA". It matches the Rfam family "Bacterial small subunit ribosomal RNA", at positions 338 to 795 of the family's 1533-position model. The record is from RNAcentral. Lineage: Bacteria; Pseudomonadati; Pseudomonadota; Betaproteobacteria; Neisseriales; Neisseriaceae.
CCUACGGGUGGCAGCAGUGGGGAAUUUUGGACAAUGGGCGCAAGCCUGAUCCAGCCAUGCCGCGUGUCUGAAGAAGGCCUUCGGGUUGUAAAGGACUUUUGUCAGGGAAGAAAAGGCUGUUGCUAAUAUCGACAGCUGAUGACGGUACCUGAAGAAUAAGCACCGGCUAACUACGUGCCAGCAGCCGCGGUAAUACGUAGGGUGCGAGCGUUAAUCGGAAUUACUGGGCGUAAAGCGAGCGCAGACGGUUACUUAAGCAGGAUGUGAAAUCCCCGGGCUCAACCUGGGAACUGCGUUCUGAACUGGGUGACUAGAGUGUGUCAGAGGGAGGUAGAAUUCCACGUGUAGCAGUGAAAUGCGUAGAGAUGUGGAGGAAUACCGAUGGCGAAGGCAGCCUCCUGGGAUAACACUGACGUUCAUGUUCGAAAGCGUGGGUAGCAAACAGGAUUAGAUACCCUUGUAGUC